Molecule: ribosomal RNA, 253 nt
Filed under: uncultured bacterium
Lineage: Bacteria
Description: partial 16S ribosomal RNA
Rfam family: Bacterial small subunit ribosomal RNA
Source: RNAcentral
UACAGAGGGGGCAAGCGUUGUUCGGAAUUACUGGGCGUAAAGGGCGCGUAGGCGGCCUGUUAAGUCGAACGUGAAAUCCCCGGGCUCAACCCGGGAACUGCGUCCGAUACUGGCAGGCUUGAAUCCGGGAGAGGGAUGCGGAAUUCCAGGUGUAGCGGUGAAAUGCGUAGAUAUCGAGAGGAACACCAGUGGCGAAGGCGAGUCCCUGGACAAAACCUGACACUGAGGCACGAAAGCUAGGGGAGCAAACAGG